GAUGAACGCUAGCUACAGGCUUAACACAUGCAAGUCGAGGGGCAGCAUGAGAGUAGCUUGCUACUCUUGAUGGCGACCGGCGCACGGGUGCGUAACGCGUAUCCAACCUGCCGUGUACUCCGGGAUAGCCCUCUGAAAGGAGGAUUAAUACCCGAUGUUUUGGCGAUGCCGCAUGACAUUGUCAACAAAGAUUUAUCGGUACAGGAUGGCGAUGCGUCCCAUUAGCUAGUUGGCGGGGUAACGGCCCACCAAGGCAUCGAUGGGUAGGGGUUCUGAGAGGAAGGUCCCCCACACUGGAACUGAGACACGGUCCAGACUCC
Molecule: ribosomal RNA, 320 nt
Filed under: uncultured Paraprevotella sp.
Lineage: Bacteria; Pseudomonadati; Bacteroidota; Bacteroidia; Bacteroidales; Prevotellaceae
Description: bacterial SSU rRNA
Rfam family: Bacterial small subunit ribosomal RNA
Source: RNAcentral